Molecule: ribosomal RNA, 568 nt
Filed under: uncultured Hyphomicrobiales bacterium
Lineage: Bacteria; Pseudomonadati; Pseudomonadota; Alphaproteobacteria; Hyphomicrobiales
Description: bacterial SSU rRNA
Rfam family: Bacterial small subunit ribosomal RNA
Source: RNAcentral
AGUGGCAGACGGGUGAGUAAUGUAUAGGAAUCUACCUAGUAGUACGGAAUAAUUGUUGGAAACGGCAACUAAUACCGUAUACGCCCUACGGGGGAAAAAUUUAUUGCUAUUAGAUGAGCCUAUAUUAGAUUAGUUAGUUGGUGAGGUAAAGGCUUACCAAGACAAUGAUCUAUAGCUGAUCUGAGAGGAUGAUCAGCCACACUGGAACUGAGAUACGGUCCAGACUCCUACGGGAGGCAGCAGUGGGGAAUNUUGGACAAUGGGCGAAAGCCUGAUCCAGCCAUGCCGCAUGAGUGAAGAAGGCCUUCGGGUUGUAAAGCUCUUUUAGUGAGGAAGAUAAUGACGGUACUCACAGAAGAAGUCCUGGCUAACUCCGUGCCAGCAGCCGCGGUAAUACGGAGAGGGCUAGCGUUAUUCGGAAUCAUUGGGCGUAAAGGGCGCGUAGGCGGGUUAGUAAGUUAAAAGUGAAAUCCCAAGGCUCAACCUUGGAACUGCUUUUAAAACUGCUAGUCUAGAGAUUGAAAGANGAUAGAGGAAUUCCUAGUGUAGAGAUGAAAUUCGUAAAUAU